Molecule: long non-coding RNA, 1643 nt
Organism: Humulus lupulus (European hop)
Lineage: Eukaryota; Viridiplantae; Streptophyta; Magnoliopsida; Rosales; Cannabaceae
Exons: 3
Source: RefSeq, a predicted model, not a curated record
CUCAGGAAGAUGAUAUGAUUGAGGUUCUAGAUUUCUCUAAGAUUACUGAAGAUAUUAUCACUCAGCAACAAUCUAGCUUUGGGGCCAUUGGGGACACAACUCUCAAUGAAACUAUGGAGAAGACUGAGAAAUCAGUUGAUGAUCACGUACAGAUAAACAAAGUUGUUUCGUUUUUUUUCCUGAUAUAUGUUAGUGUCUUUUUGUCAAAGUAUGGUAUUAUAAGGAUAAGCUUUGAUGUUCUUUUCUAUUAUAUAACUAAUCAUAUGUUAUUUGAUCUUUUUUUUGAGAUGUAAUGCUAUGACAUUAGACAAGUAAGGGAUACCUUGACUUUUGUUUCAGUUAUCAUAUAUUAUUAUUAGAUGCCAGCACACUUUUUCUAGUCUUUUAUUUUUUUAUGACCAGUUUUAUUGAUAUCUAUAUAUAUAUUGAUCUUGAUCAUUGUUAUAUAUAAAUGUUGUUGUUUUUUUCUUCCGAAUCACAAUAGUGCACUUAUUAUGUGUUUUUGUUAAUUAAAAACUUUUACUUUACUUCACAUGAAUAAAUCAAAUCAAAUAUUAAAACAAAAGUUUAUUUCUAGCACUCAACAAUUUUGAUAAAAUGGUAUUAAAAUAUACCAUUACCAUAUUCUUUUAAUGUUGUAGGAUAUAACUGCCCAACAUUGAGUAGUUGAUGUACUUCAAAGUUCUGUGAAAGGUGUGGAGGAUAAAACACCAGAAAUUGAAACCAAAACAGUAAAAAUUGUUUAAUGAGCUUUUUUAUUAUAUAAACCUAUUGAUUUAUUUAUAUAUAUGCUAUUGAAUUUACAUUUCCAAUUAUAAACCUGUUUGUUUAUUUCAUAUAAAUAUUUUCUUAUUUAACUUAUUCGAUAUAAAAGCGAUAUUAUUUUUGUAAAAUUGUAUGUAUAGUUAAGUAAUCUGAUUGAUUAAGUCAAAUUUUAUUUUAUCUAUUACGUUUCUUUAUUGUAGGAUACAAUGGUCCAACUAUUUUAAUGAUAGGCAAUCUUAGAACGGUUGACCCAAUACAUAAUUCUGGUUUUUGUGUAGGGGACAAAACGCCAUAAAUUAGAAAGAAGAAAAAGUUAAUGAUGAAAUUGAAAUAUUUAUUGAUGACGAUGUGUGCUUUAGUGCCGAGGAUCUUAAAAAGUUGGACGAGCAGGUUGAGAGGCUUAACAAGCGAAAGAAAUUCACUGAUAAGGGGGAGGUGUGUUGUCGUAUGAUGAUAGUGAUGUUGUCCCGACAAAAAGAGCAAUAAAACCUAGUUCCAAGUUGUCCCACCCAUUUAUAAUUGCUUUUAGAUCUGACGCGGGCCAUGAUAAAAAAAAGAGAGUAAACCAUUCCAGCAGAAUGUGUUGAGGAUUGAACCUUAUUAUGAGAUGGCAAUUGCCAAAAUAGAUAACAAAAUGUUGUUUUAUGAGCUACACUAUAACAUCCCAAAUUUUCUAUUCAGGCUUAGUGCCUUGAUUAGUGUGUCGGGAGAGCAUAAACAGAUAUUAUGUGCAUUUUAUAAUUAUAUGCAUGAUUAUGUGAAUUAUGUGAGUUAUAUGAUAUGACUAUUGUAGAAUGUUUAGGUGUAUUAAGUAUGCAUGUGGGCCUGUUUCUUAUUAGAAUGAGUAUUUUCGUAAUUUUGACCCGUUGAUGGUAUAU